CUUGAUCGACCCCAGCCACAGCGGCCGGUCCCGGUCGCGGCCGUAGGUGGCCAGUAGCGCCCGCGCCUC
This 69-nucleotide antisense RNA is filed under the name Thermostaphylospora chromogena. Its description in RNAcentral is "Thermomonospora chromogena ASpks TB sRNA". It matches the Rfam family "ASpks TB sRNA". Lineage: Bacteria; Bacillati; Actinomycetota; Actinomycetes; Streptosporangiales; Thermomonosporaceae. The record is from Rfam by way of RNAcentral.